GAUGAACGCUGGCGGCGUGCCUAAUACAUGCAAGUCGAGCGAACGGACGAGAAGCUUGCUUUUCUGACGUUAGCGGCGGACGGGUGAGUAACACGUGGAUAACCUACCUAUAAGACUGGGAUAACUUCGGGAAACCGGAGCUAAUACCGGAUAAUAUUUUGAACCGCAUGGUUCAAUAGUGAAAGACGGUCUUGCUGUCACUUAUAGAUGGAUCCGCGCUGCAUUAGCUAGUUGGUAAGGUAACGGCUUACCAAGGCAACGAUGCGUAGCCGACCUGAGAGGGUGAUCGGCCACACUGGAACUGAGACACGGUCCAGACUCCUACGGGAGGCAGCAGUAGGGAAUCGUCCGCAAUGGGCGAAAGCCUGACGGAGCAACGCCGCGUGAGUGAUGAAGGUCUUCGGAUCGUAAAACUCUGUUAUUAGGGAAGAACAAAUGUGUAAGUAACUGUGCACAUCUUGACGGUACCUAAUCAGAAAGCCACGGCUAACUACGUG
Molecule: ribosomal RNA, 497 nt
Filed under: uncultured bacterium
Lineage: Bacteria
Description: partial 16S ribosomal RNA
Rfam family: Bacterial small subunit ribosomal RNA
Source: RNAcentral